CCUCUCUCGGUUUCCUCCUCUCUCUCGGUUUCCUCCUCUCUCUCGGUUUCCUCCUCUCUCUCGGUUUCCUCCUCUCUCUCAGUUUCCUCCUCUCUUUCGGUUUCCUCCUCUCUCUCGGUUUCUUCUCUCUCGGUUUCCUCCUCUCUCUCAGUUUCUUCUCUCUUGGUUUCCUCCUCUCUCUCGGUUUCUUCCUCUCUCUCGGUUUCCUCCUCUCUCUCGGUUUCCUCCUCUCUUUCGGUUUCCUCCUCUCUCUCGGUUUCUUCCUCUCUCUCGGUUUCUUCCUCUCUCUUUCGGUUUCUUCCUCUCUCUCAGUUACCUCCUCUCUCAGUUUCUUCCUCUCUCUCGGUUUCCUCCUCUCUCUCGGUUUCUUCCUCUCUCUCGGUUUCUUCCUCUCUCUCGGUUUCUUCCUCUCUCUCGGUUUCCACCUCUCUCUCGGUUUCUUCCUCUCUCUCGGUUCCUCCUCUCUCUCGGUUUCCUCCUCUCUCAGUUUCUUCCUCUCCCUUGGUUUCCUCCUCUCUCUGUUUCUUCUUCUCUCUCGGUUUCUUCCUCUCUCUCGGUUUCCUCCUCUCUCUCGGUUUCUUCCUCUCUCUCGGUUUCUUCCUCUCUCUCGGUUUCCUCCUCUCUCUCGGUUUCUUCCUCUCUCUCGGUUUCUUCCUCUCUCUCGGUUUCCUCCUCUCUCGGUUUCCUCCUCUCAGUUUCCUCCUCUCUCUCGGUUUCUUCCUCUCUCUCGGUUUCUUCCUCUCUCUCGGUUUCCUCCUCUCUCUCGGUUUCUUCCUCUCUCUCGGUUUCUUCCUCUCUCAGUUUCUUCCUUUCCCUCGGUUGCCUACUCUCUCUCAGUUGCCUCCUCUCUCUCGGUUUCCUCACCUUGGUUUUCUCCACUCUCGGUUUCUUCCUCUCUCUCGGUUACUUGCUCUCUCGGUUUUUUCCUCCUCUCUCUCGGUUUCUUCCUCUCUCUCGGUUUCUUCCUGUCUCUCUGGUUUCCUCCUCUCUCUCGGUUUCCCCCUCUCUCUCAGUUUCUUCUCUCUCGGUUUCCUCCUCUCUCUCAGUUUCUUCUCUCUCGGUUUCCUCCUCUCUCUCGGUUUCUUCUCUCUCGGUUUCCUCCUCUCUCUCGGUUUCUUCUCUCUCGGUGUCCUCCUCUCUCUCGGUUUCUUCCUCUCUCUCGGUUUCCUCCUCUCUCUGUUUCUCCUCUCUCGGUUUCCUCCUCUCUCAGUUUCUUCUUCUCUCUCGGUUUCCUCCUCUCUCAGUUUCUUCCUCUCUCUCGGUUUUCUCCUCUCUCAGUUACUUCCUCUCUCUCGGUUACCUCCUCUCUCUCGGUUUCUUCCUCUCUCUCGGUUUCUUCCUCUCUUUCGGUUUCUUCCUCUCUCUCGGUUUCUUCCUGUCUCUCGGUUUCCUCCUCUCUCUCGGUUUCCCCCUCUCUCUCAAUUUCUUCUCUCUCGGUUUCCUCCUCUCUCUCAGUUUCUUCCUCUCUCUCGGUUUCCUCCUCUCUCUGUUUCUCCUCUCUCGGUUUCCUCCUCUCUGUUUCUUCUCUCUCGGUUGCCUCCUCUCUCAGUUUCUUCCUCUCUCUCGGUUUUCUCCUCUCUCAGUUUCUUCCUUUCCCUCGGUUUUCUCCUCUCUCAGUUUCUUCCUUUCCCUCGUUUCCUCCUCUCUCUCGGUUUCCUCCUCUCUCAGUUUCUU
Long non-coding RNA from Oncorhynchus tshawytscha (Chinook salmon), 1674 nucleotides. The record is from Ensembl. Lineage: Eukaryota; Metazoa; Chordata; Actinopteri; Salmoniformes; Salmonidae.